Molecule: ribosomal RNA, 800 nt
Filed under: uncultured bacterium
Lineage: Bacteria
Description: bacterial SSU rRNA
Rfam family: Bacterial small subunit ribosomal RNA
Source: RNAcentral
GAGUUUGAUCCUGGCUCAGAACGUACGCUGGCGGCACGCCUAACACAUGCAAGUCGAACGAAGUAGCAAUACUUAGUGGCAGACGGGUGAGUAACAUGUAGGUAUCUGCCCUUUGGCCUGGAAUAACACGAGGAAACUUGUGCUAAUACCGGAUAAGUCUUUACGGAGAAAGCUUUAUGCACCAUUGGAUGAGCCUGCACUUGAUUAGUUUGUUGGUGGGGUAAUGGCCUACCAAGACUGUGAUCAAUAGCUGAUUUGAGAGGAUGAUCAGCCACAUUGGGACUGAGACACGGCCCAAACUCCUACGGGAGGCAGCAGUGGGGAAUCUUGCACAAUGGAGGAAACUCUGAUGCAGCGAUGCCGCGUGAGUGAAGAAGGCCCUUGGGUUGUAAAGCUCUUUCGUCGGGGAAGAAAAUGACUGUACCCGAAUAAGAAGGUCCGGCUAACUUCGUGCCAGCAGCCGCGGUAAUACGAAGGGACCUAGCGUAGUUCGGAAUUACUGGGCUUAAAGAGUUCGUAGGUGGUUGAAAAAGUUAGUGGUGAAAUCCCAGAGCUUAACUCUGGAACUGCCAUUAAAACUUUUCAGCUAGAGUAUGAUAGAGGAAAGCAGAAUUUCUAGUGUAGAGGUGAAAUUCGUAGAUAUUAGAAAGAAUACCAAUUGCGAAGGCAGCUUUCUGGAUCAUUACUGACACUGAGGAACGAAAGCAUGGGUAGCGAAGAGGAUUAGAUACCCUCGUAGUCCAUGCCGUAAACGAUGUGUGUUAGACGUUGGAAAUUUAUUUUCAGUGUCGCAGGGAAAC